Mytilus trossulus (common blue mussel) is the source of this 525-nucleotide long non-coding RNA. RefSeq lists it as uncharacterized. The record is from RefSeq and is a predicted model, not a curated record. NCBI's taxonomy places the organism in Eukaryota, Metazoa, Mollusca, Bivalvia, Mytilida, Mytilidae. The transcript is spliced from 4 exons.
UGUAUCAAGCUGUGUGUUCCAAGGAUAUGUAUAAACAAUGUUUACCGUCAAAUUUUAUACAUUUGAUAUUUUCAACUUUUGGAUACCAUUGGUUGUCAGAAAGACCUUGCAAUAUAGAAAAUGGAAUGUUCGUACAUGAUGCUAACGAGAGCGAACAGAGAGAAUUUGCUCAACAAGCCGAGAAGGACUGGGAAACAUUCCUACUCCAACGAGGAAAAGAAUUAAAACGUGUUUUCAGGUGGAAUAAUGUAUCUUCUCGGUUUGGUAAAGGAUGACAAAGGAGAAUAUGGUUCAUUAGAGUUUCACAAGCAACUGUCAGAAGUUCAAAAGAAAAUGUUUCAAGAUGGAUUUAUAUCUAAGGAGGAACAUAAAAAUAUGCUCAUUAACUCUUAUCAUCGCUCCGAAGCUGAAAUGAGACUUCCGUUUUGCCAAGGAUCAAAGGUCUCUGCAUUAGGUUUAAAAUUACAAUCCUUCACAACGAGAAACUGGACAGCGGUAAAAAAUCCCGGAAACGAAAACAGUAAG